UGAGACGCUGGCCAGCAGGAUCUAAAGCUGUCAUUGAGUUCAGUUCCUAUAAACCCACUCACUGCAGCAGGAGAGACUGAGGGGAGACAGCAGAGGCGUGUUUAAUUGCAGGAGCCCCUCAGCGGAGCCCUCCCAGAGUAAUUAGAGAAGAAUGGAAGUGUGGGACCAAACUGAGGGGCCUGGAUCAUUCGGCUAUUCUGCUGAGUUCAUCAUCCUGCGGUUGCCUGUGAGGAACUCGAGGGGAGGGGCAGGACAUGACUGGCAACCCCAACCCUAACAAGGUCCAGAUGGUGCUGCAGCGCUGGAGAAAGGAGUUUUAUUCAUAGCAGACAUUUUCAUCAACCCAGCUGGACUUUGGCUUAAGAAGGCAAAAGAAGUGAAAGCCCUUUUCUGGAUAGCAUCCUCACAAAACCGCAGGAUCACACAACUUGGUUGCCAAAGAAGUUUGAUUGUGAUGUGCGGGCAGUGAGACGUGGUCCAGUGCGUUUGGACAGCAGGAGGGCGUCACAUGGCCAGAAUUUACGUGCUUCCUCUGGGGCAGUCGUGGGCUGGAGGUUAGGGAACCAGCCCUGUGACCAGAAGGUUGCCGGUUCAAUCCACUCAGCUGAUACUGUGACUGAAGUAUCCUUGAGCAAGGCACCUAACCCCCAAAUUGCUCCCCAGGUGCUGUGGAUAGGGCUGCCCACUG
Long non-coding RNA from Pygocentrus nattereri (red-bellied piranha), 688 nucleotides. RefSeq lists it as uncharacterized. The record is from RefSeq and is a predicted model, not a curated record. The transcript is spliced from 4 exons. NCBI's taxonomy places the organism in Eukaryota, Metazoa, Chordata, Actinopteri, Characiformes, Serrasalmidae.